GCCUAGCUGGCUCAAUCAGUAAAGCAUAUGACUCUUGAUCUUGGGGUUGUGAGUUCAAGCCCCAUGUUGGGUG
This 73-nucleotide transfer RNA is filed under the name Neogale vison (American mink). Its description in RNAcentral is "Neovison vison tRNA". It matches the Rfam family "tRNA". From Rfam's summary of the family: Transfer RNA (tRNA) molecules are approximately 80 nucleotides in length. Their secondary structure includes four short double-helical elements and three loops (D, anti-codon, and T loops). The record is from Rfam by way of RNAcentral. Lineage: Eukaryota; Metazoa; Chordata; Mammalia; Carnivora; Mustelidae.